CAAGCCCUGGAAACGGGGUCUAAUACCGGAUAACACCUUCCCUGGCAUGAGGGAUGGUUAAAAGCUCCGGCGGUGAAGGAUGAGCCCGCGGCCUAUCAGCUUGUUGGUGGGGUAAUGGCCUACCAAGGCGACGACGGGUAGCCGGCCUGAGAGGGCGACCGGCCACACUGGGACUGAGACACGGCCCAGACUCCUACGGGAGGCAGCAGUGGGGAAUAUUGCACAAUGGGCGAAAGCCUGAUGCAGCGACGCCGCGUGAGGGAUGACGGCCUUCGGGUUGUAAACCUCUUUCAGCAGGGAAGAAGCGAAAGUGACGGUACCUGCAGAAGAAGCGCCGGCUAACUACGUGCCAGCAGCCGCGGUAAUACGUAGGGCGCAAGCGUUGUCCGGAAUUAUUGGGCGUAAAGAGCUCGUAGGCGGCUUGUCACGUCGGAUGUGAAAGCCCGGGGCUUAACCCCGGGUCUGCAUUCGAUACGGGCAGGCUAGAGUGUGGUAGGGGAGAUCGGAAUUCCUGGUGUAGCGGUGAAAUGCGCAGAUAUCAGGAGGAACACCGGUGGCGAAGGCGGAUCUCUGGGCCAUUACUGACGCUGAGGAGCGAAAGCGUGGGGAGCGAACAGGAUUAGAUACCCUGGUAGUCCACGCCGUAAACGUUGGGAACUAGGUGUUGGCGACAUUCCACGUCGUCGGUGCCGCAGCUAACGCAUUAAGUUCCCCGCCUGGG
This 721-nucleotide ribosomal RNA is filed under the name Actinomycetes bacterium. RNAcentral describes it as "bacterial SSU rRNA". It matches the Rfam family "Bacterial small subunit ribosomal RNA", at positions 144 to 877 of the family's 1533-position model. Lineage: Bacteria; Bacillati; Actinomycetota; Actinomycetes. The record is from RNAcentral.